This 385-nucleotide ribosomal RNA is filed under the name uncultured bacterium. RNAcentral's name for it is "bacterial SSU rRNA". It matches the Rfam family "Bacterial small subunit ribosomal RNA", at positions 30 to 417 of the family's 1533-position model. The record is from RNAcentral.
AUUGAACGCUGGUGGCAUGCCUUACACAUGCAAGUCGAACGGCAGCGGACCUUCGGGUGCCGGCGAGUGGCGAACGGGUGAGUAAUAUAUCGGAACGUACCUUUCAGUGGGGGAUAACGUAGCGAAAGUUACGCUAAUACCGCAUAUUCUGUGAGCAGGAAAGCAGGGGAUCGCAAGACCUUGCGCUGAUUGAGCGGCCGAUAUCAGAUUAGCUAGUUGGUGAGGUAAAGGCUCACCAAGGCGACGAUCUGUAGCGGGUCUGAGAGGAUGAUCCGCCACACUGGAACUGAGACACGGUCCAGACUCCUACGGGAGGCAGCAGUGGGGAAUUUUGGACAAUGGGCGCAAGCCUGAUCCAGCCAUGCCGCGUGAGUGAAGAAGGCCU